This 424-nucleotide ribosomal RNA is filed under the name uncultured bacterium. RNAcentral describes it as "bacterial SSU rRNA". It matches the Rfam family "Bacterial small subunit ribosomal RNA", at positions 958 to 1385 of the family's 1533-position model. The record is from RNAcentral.
AACGCGAAGAACCUUACCAGGGCUUGACAUCCAGUGACAUCCUAGGAGACUAGGUUUUCUAGCAAUAGAACACUGAGACAGGUGCUGCAUGGCUGUCGUCAGCUCGUGCCGUGAGGUGUUGGGUUAAGUCCCGCAACGAGCGCAACCCUUGUCGUGUGUUGGUACGCAAGUAUCUCUCACGCGAGACCGCCGGUGACAAGCCGGAGGAAGGUGGGGAUGACGUCAAGUCAGCAUGGCCCUUACGUCCUGGGCUACACACGUGCUACAAUGGGGAGGACAGCGAGUCGCUAACCCGCGAGGGUAUGCCAAUCUCUUAAACCUCUCCUCAGUUCGGAUUGAAGGCUGCAACUCGCCUUCAUGAAGUCGGAAUCGCUAGUAAACGCAGAUCAGCUACGCUGCGUUGAAUACGUUCCCGGGCCUUGUA